RNAcentral lists this ribosomal RNA (537 nucleotides) under Campylobacter coli. Its description in RNAcentral is "partial 23S ribosomal RNA". It matches the Rfam family "Bacterial large subunit ribosomal RNA", at positions 1 to 559 of the family's 2925-position model. Lineage: Bacteria; Pseudomonadati; Campylobacterota; Epsilonproteobacteria; Campylobacterales; Campylobacteraceae. The record is from RNAcentral.
AGGUAAGCUACUAAGAGCGAAUGGUGGAUGCCUUGACUGGUAAAGGCGAUGAAGGACGUACUAGACUGCGAUAAGCUACGGGGAGCUGUCAAGAAGCUUUGAUCCGUAGAUUUCCGAAUGGGGCAACCCAAUGUAUAGAGAUAUACAUUACCUAUAUAGGAGCGAACGAGGGGAAUUGAAACAUCUUAGUACCCUCAGGAAAAGAAAUCAAUAGAGAUUGCGUCAGUAGCGGCGAGCGAAAGCGCAAGAGGGCAAACCCAGUGCUUGCACUGGGGGUUGUAGGACUGCAAUGUGCAAGAGGUGAGUUUAGCAGAACAUUCUGGAAAGUAUAGCCAUAGAGGGUGAUAGUCCCGUAUGCGAAAAACAAACCUUAGCUAGCAGUAUCCUGAGUAGGGCGGGACACGAGAAAUCCUGUCUGAAGCUGGGUCGACCACGAUCCAACCCUAAAUACUAAUACCAGAUCGAUAGUGCACAAGUACCGUGAGGGAAAGGUGAAAAGAACUGAGGUGAUCAGAGUGAAAUAGAACCUGAAACCAU